Amborella trichopoda is the source of this 460-nucleotide long non-coding RNA. RefSeq lists it as uncharacterized. NCBI's taxonomy places the organism in Eukaryota, Viridiplantae, Streptophyta, Magnoliopsida, Amborellales, Amborellaceae. The record is from RefSeq and is a predicted model, not a curated record.
GAGAUUGUGAAAUAGAUAGAGAUCAAGGAGAAUAGCACACCCCACCAUUGCUUCAUUGUCUCCCUUGAUGUGCGGAAGUAGCCUUCCGGUCGUCCGAUGCAUUUAGAAGGCAGUACGUCCGCAUUACAUCCUCUUAUAUGCUGGACUCUUUCUUCAUGUUAACUGACUUUGGCUACCCACUUCAGCAGAACUUGAAUUGUGUUUUUGAGAGGGAAACAUGUGCUCGGUUCGGUCAUGCUUCUUGGGGCAAGAUGGAGGAGUGCUGGUAAACUGCAGAGGAACGAAACCACAAGCUAGCACACGCUAGUUUCCUAUGGGCAAACAUCAGUUUUGCCUCGAAGUUAAAUGGUUUUGAACUUGCCGAAGCGAGCCUUUCCCACCAUUUGUUUUAUUUACAUUUUCCAAAGCUUCAAUCUAAUAAAUUUUUAUCUAGUAGCGAUUGUAACUUCCUAGUACCAAA